UACGGAGGGUGCAAGCGUUAAUCGGAAUUACUGGGCGUAAAGCGCGCGUAGGCGGUUAUUUAAGUCGGAUGUGAAAGCCCCGGGCUCAACCUGGGAAUUGCAUACGAUACUGGGUAACUAGAGUAUGAGAGAGGGAGGUAGAAUUCCAUGUGUAGCGGUGAAAUGCGUAGAUAUAUGGAGGAAUACCAGUGGCGAAGGCGGCCUCCUGGCUCAAUACUGACGCUGAGGUGCGAAAGCGUGGGGAGCAAACAGG
RNAcentral lists this ribosomal RNA (253 nucleotides) under uncultured bacterium. RNAcentral's name for it is "partial 16S ribosomal RNA". It matches the Rfam family "Bacterial small subunit ribosomal RNA", at positions 524 to 776 of the family's 1533-position model. The record is from RNAcentral.